UUAACUUAUUUAGUUAUAGAUUCAGAAUAACAUAGAAUUAACAGAGUUUCAUGGGCCACCGGCAGGCGUACCCGUGUCUACCAGGUAGGGUCCUACAGGGUAGGACCUCACAGGGUAAACACGACCUGCCGAGGCAACAGAAGGUAAGUUCACAUGGGUUUGGGAGUUGUAAUUAACUCUUUAAUGAUCCCUCCGCUGGUUCACCAACGGAGA
RNAcentral lists this unclassified non-coding RNA (213 nucleotides) under uncultured fungus. RNAcentral describes it as "sequence contains ITS1". The record is from RNAcentral. Lineage: Eukaryota; Fungi.